GACGAACGCUGGCGGCGUGCUUAACACAUGCAAGUCGAACAGAAAGGCCCUGCUUUUGUGGGGUGCUCGAGUGGCGAACGGGUGAGUAACACGUGAGUAACCUGCCCUUGAUUUUGGGAUAACUUCAGGAAACUGGGGCUAAUACCGGAUAGGAGCUCCUGCUGCAUGGUGGGGGUUGGAAAGUUUCGGCGGUUGGGGAUGGACUCGCGGCUUAUCAGCUUGUUGGUGGGGUAGUGGCUUACCAAGGCUUUGACGGGUAGCCGGCCUGAGAGGGUGACCGGCCACAUUGGGACUGAGAUACGGCCCAGACUCCUACGGGAGGCAGCAGUGGGGAAUAUUGCACAAUGGGCGGAAGCCUGAUGCAGCAACGCCGCGUGCGGGAUGACGGCCUUCGGGUUGUAAACCGCUUUCGCCUGUGACGAAGCGUGAGUGACGGUAAUGGGUAAAGAAGCACCGGCUAACUACGUG
This 468-nucleotide ribosomal RNA is filed under the name uncultured bacterium. Its description in RNAcentral is "partial 16S ribosomal RNA". It matches the Rfam family "Bacterial small subunit ribosomal RNA", at positions 28 to 507 of the family's 1533-position model. The record is from RNAcentral.